RNAcentral lists this long non-coding RNA (958 nucleotides) under Sorghum bicolor (sorghum). RNAcentral's name for it is "long non-coding RNA (SBIC_LNC006744)". Lineage: Eukaryota; Viridiplantae; Streptophyta; Magnoliopsida; Poales; Poaceae. The record is from RNAcentral.
UGGAUAACCUCUUGGGUGAAGUGCUCAUUGAUAUCCGUGCGCUUGCGGAUCAUUUCCUGAUUGCGUUAACAAAUAUCAACAAGCAUUUCUGGCGCAGUUGCCGGGGAGAAAGACGAUUUGCUGAGAUAACUUUAAGUCUUGAUAUUAUCUUGUAUUAUACUUUUAUACUUUUAUUCUUUUAUCUUUUUAUUUUUUCCAUCUUUAUGGAUAACUCAAAUUCCACACCUAUUAUUGAAUUUUUUGCACCUUCGGAGACCAGCCAUAGACCAUGGGAGUCAACAAGUCCUUUCUUUGACCCUAAUUAUAAUCUGUGUCCGAAGUUGAUUGCAAUAGGUCAAAACCAAACCUUUUGUAUAGCCGAGGUCCUAUCUUUUAAUCAAGAAGAUAAUGAACUUUUAGCUACACCUAGGGAAUUUUUUAAUCUUUAUAAAUUCUAGUUUAGACCUAGCCCUACAAGACCAUGUUUUUCCUCGAUAUUUUCACAUUUGUCUUAAUCAUAUAACCUUUGGUAGAGUUUUUAUUUCUUUAUCUGUUAGUAAAGCAAGGCAUGUCUUCAUUCAUGGACAUCCUUCUUGCAUUAGUCUUCAUAAAAAAAUUCUAGAGAUAGAGAUCAUCUCCCAGACGAGGAAAAGAAGUUUCAAUAGCCAAUUUCCAAACAUUUCAAUCCCAUGAUUCGGCUAUCCAACCCAAACUAGUAGUGCUCCAAAAUCAUCUAAGGGAAGAAGAAAUUCUACCUUUGGAAAUUCAUUUUGGGAUAAGCUUAAACUUCCUGCUUCAUAAGAGACCUUUGAGUGCAUAUAGUGUGAACCUUCCUAAGAAGGGAUCUCUUAGAAAGCAUCUCAAAUCCAAUCCCUUUGAUGGACAUCUACAAAGACUCAAGGAUGGCAUCUUAAGUGAUGCAAUAGAAAGAGAGCGAAGCCAUUUGGAAGACAAUCUCAUCUUCUCCCCUUCUACGCCC